GAUGAACGCUAGCGGGAGGCCUAACACAUGCAAGCCGAGCGGUAGAGAUUCUUCGGAAUCUUGAGAGCGGCGUACGGGUGCGGAACACGUGUGCAACCUACCUUUAUCUGGAGGAUAGCCUUUCGAAAGGAAGAUUAAUACUCCAUAAUAUAUUGAUUGGCAUCGAUUGAUAUUGAAAGCUCCGGCGGAUAGAGAUGGGCACGCGCAAGAUUAGCUAGUUGGUGAGGUUAACGGCUCACCAAGGCGAUGAUCUUUAGGGGCCUGAGAGGGUGAUCCCCACACUGGUACUGAGACACGGACCAGACUCCUACGGGAGGCAGCAGUGAGAAUAUUGGUCAAUGGGUGCAAGCCUGAACCAGCCAUCCCGCGU
This 370-nucleotide ribosomal RNA is filed under the name uncultured bacterium. Its description in RNAcentral is "bacterial SSU rRNA". It matches the Rfam family "Bacterial small subunit ribosomal RNA", at positions 28 to 402 of the family's 1533-position model. The record is from RNAcentral.